RNAcentral lists this transfer RNA (73 nucleotides) under Verrucomicrobia bacterium 12-59-8. RNAcentral describes it as "tRNA-Thr". Lineage: Bacteria; Pseudomonadati; Verrucomicrobiota. The record is from RNAcentral.
GCUUUGAGAAAUAAGGGUAUACAGCGGUUUUGUAAACCGCAGGUCGUCGGUUCGACCCCGACUGCUGGCUCCA